UACGAGUGCCCCAAGCGUUAUCCGGAAUCAUUGGGCGUAAAGGGUGUGUAGGCGGUUGUGUUAGUCUUCUGUUAAAUUCUUCGGCUUAACCGGGGGUCUGCAGAGGAAACGGCACAACUAGAGGAUGCGAGAGGUGAAUGGAACUCAUGGAGUAGGGGUGAAAUCCGUUGAUAUCAUGGGGAACACCAAAAGCGAAGGCAAUUCACUGGCGCACUCCUGACGCUGAGACACGAAAGCGUAGGUAGCGAAUGGGA
This 254-nucleotide ribosomal RNA is filed under the name uncultured bacterium. Its description in RNAcentral is "partial 16S ribosomal RNA". It matches the Rfam family "Bacterial small subunit ribosomal RNA", at positions 524 to 777 of the family's 1533-position model. The record is from RNAcentral.